This 465-nucleotide ribosomal RNA is filed under the name uncultured bacterium. RNAcentral describes it as "partial 16S ribosomal RNA". It matches the Rfam family "Bacterial small subunit ribosomal RNA", at positions 28 to 507 of the family's 1533-position model. The record is from RNAcentral.
GACGAACGCUGGCGGCGUACUUAACACAUGCAAGUCGUACGGUAAGGCCCUUUCGGGGGUACACGAGUGGCAAACGGGUGAGUAACACGUGAGUAACCUGCCCACAACUUUGGGAUAACGCUAGGAAACUGGUGCUAAUACUGGAUAUGUGCUCCUGCUGCAUGGUGGGGGUUGGAAAGCUCCGGCGGUUGUGGAUGGACUCGCGGCCUAUCAGCUUGUUGGUGGGGUAGUGGCCUACCAAGGCGGCGACGGGUAGCCGGCCUGAGAGGGUGACCGGCCACAUUGGGACUGAGAUACGGCCCAGACUCCUACGGGAGGCAGCAGUGGGGAAUAUUGCACAAUGGGCGCAAGCCUGAUGCAGCAACGCCGCGUGCGGGAUGACGGCCUUCGGGUUGUAAACCGCUUUCAGCAGGGACGAAGCUUUUUGUGACGGUACCUGCAGAAGAAGCACCGGCUAACUACGUG